This 998-nucleotide small RNA is filed under the name Pongo abelii (Sumatran orangutan). RNAcentral's name for it is "processed transcript". Lineage: Eukaryota; Metazoa; Chordata; Mammalia; Primates; Hominidae. The record is from RNAcentral.
AUCAGGAGCGGGAGCUGAGGGGAGAGAGAGGCCGGUCCUGGUCUGGCCCUUGCGGCUGCUAGCCCGAGGUCUCCAAGCCGGGCUACGGCUUCAUCCUCGGCUCCUGGGCACCGUCUGCGAGGCUCCGCCGACCAGAGUGAGAAAGCCGCGGGCGGCGACCGCCGCAUCAUGUCAGCCAAGGACGAGCGGGCCAGGGAGAUCCUGAGGGGCUUCAAACUACAGUAAACCGGAAACUGUGGAGAAUUGAGAGAUUUCAGAAGCAACGUUUUCAUCUGAUUGGAAAUACCGUAUUGCUGAAAAUAAGAAAGGCCUUUUUAAUGGCUUUUGAACAAAGCAGAAAAGUUUGAGCUUCUCACCUUCAGUCUUAGCUCUUGAACCUGUUGAGAAAGAGGAUAAGAGACAAAUACGGAAAAGAGUUUCAGAAAGCAGAAUCUGUGUCAGCCCACUGGAAGGAAAAGCGAAUCAACCGAUUCAGUGAUGUUAGUGCGUCCAGAAACAGGCUUUUGGGAAAAGCUUGACCUGAGCUGAUUAAAUCCCGAAGCACAAGGGAAGUAGCCAUAUCAAAAAGUUAGCAUGAGAGCAGUGGCGUGUUCAUCUUCUGGUAGCCUUUAUUGGGCAUUUGUGGAGUAAGAGAGAAAAGAAAAGCAGGAAUGUUAAGAUAUGCUACUACCUUCAGGAAAAAGUAAAAUUAAUGUUUUAGUAAGAAACUGACUAUUGUCCACCUUUUAUUGGGUAAAUAGAUUUUCUGAACUUUCUUUCAGAGUAUCUGUUUCUGUAAGAAUAGUUUAUCACUGCAAAAAGAGCACCAUUAUGUUCUCCCACCAACAGUGUUGAUAGUACUCAGUUUUCCACGUUGACUAGGUCAGUCUUUUUUAUUUGCCAGUUUGGAUAACAAAUGAUACAUUGUUUUAAUUGGUAUUCUUCUGGAUCCCUAGAUCCAUGAAAAGGUAAUGUAGCAUAGUGGUUAAGAGCUAUACUGGACUAUGUCGCUAUACUGC